Pelobates cultripes (western spadefoot toad) is the source of this 372-nucleotide non-coding RNA. The record is from the annotation of a GenBank genome assembly. NCBI's taxonomy places the organism in Eukaryota, Metazoa, Chordata, Amphibia, Anura, Pelobatidae.
GCUGGUUAACCUUUUGAUCCCAAUUAGAACGUUGUGGUUAACUGCAGACACCUCUCAAUUAAAACCGAAUGCAGGGUGGUCGUCGUUCGUAUGUCAACCACGAGGCGGCGGCCAUUUUAAACAGGCGAAAGACCAGCGGUGUUCGGCCCAGAUUCUAUGGAACUGAAAAAGGGGACUUUUUCCGCCGAACACCGCUGAAGCCACCGACCUCCCUUCUCAAUCGACAAAAGUGUACGAACACUGGCCAUUCGGGAGUUUGAAACGCACGAAUGGACUUAACACAGAUAGCCCUCCCAUGGAGUCAAUCGCAUACCGAAAGACUGUAAUAGACUUUGACUCCAUGGAGAUUGAACUAUGUGUAUGGGAUCUGAG